RNAcentral lists this ribosomal RNA (433 nucleotides) under uncultured bacterium. RNAcentral's name for it is "partial 16S ribosomal RNA". It matches the Rfam family "Bacterial small subunit ribosomal RNA", at positions 29 to 507 of the family's 1533-position model. The record is from RNAcentral.
AACGAACGCUGGCGGCAUGCCUAACACAUGCAAGUCGAACGAAACCUUCGGGUCUAGUGGCGCACGGGUGCGUAACGCGUGGGAACCUGCCCUUAGGUUCGGCAUAACUCCCCGAAAGGGGUGCUAAUACCGGAUAAUGUCUUCGGACCAAAGAUUUAUCGCCUUUGGAUGGGCCCGCGUUGGAUUGGCUAGUUGGUAGGGUAAAAGCCUACCAAGGCGACGAGCCGUAGCUGGUCUGAGAGGAUGAUCAGCCACACUGGGACUGAGACACGGCCCAGACUCCUGCGGGAGGCAGCAGUGGGGGAUAUUGGACAGUGGGCGAAAGCCUGAUCCAGCAAUGCCGCGUGAGUGAUGAAGGCGUUAGGGUUGUAAAGCUCUUUUACCCGGGAUGAUAAUGACAGUACCGGGAGAAGAAGCUCCGGCUAACUCCGUG